This 253-nucleotide ribosomal RNA is filed under the name uncultured bacterium. Its description in RNAcentral is "partial 16S ribosomal RNA". It matches the Rfam family "Bacterial small subunit ribosomal RNA", at positions 524 to 776 of the family's 1533-position model. The record is from RNAcentral.
GACGAACCGAGCGAACGUUAUUCGGAAUCACUGGGCUUAAAGGGCGCGUAGGCGGACUGCCAAGUCAGGGGUGAAAGCCCGCGGCUCAACCGCGGAAGUGCCUUUGAUACUGGCGGUCUUGAGGGAGGUAGGGGCGUGCGGAACUUCCGGUGGAGCGGUGAAAUGCGUAGAUAUCGGAAGGAACACCGGUGGCGAAAGCGGCGCGCUGGACCUCUUCUGACGCUGAGGCGCGAAAGCCAGGGGAGCGAACGGG